Molecule: transfer RNA, 63 nt
Filed under: Indosialis bannaensis
Lineage: Eukaryota; Metazoa; Arthropoda; Insecta; Megaloptera; Sialidae
Description: tRNA-Cys
Source: RNAcentral
AGUCUUAUAGUUUAAUUAAAAUAUUAAAUUGCAAAUUUAAAGAUAAAAAAUAUUUUAAGGCUU